CCUGUCAUCGUCUAGUGGUUAGGACACCAGGUUCUGACGAGUUCUCCGAUGCCUCCUGGUAACCCCGGUUCAAACCCGGGUGACAGGU
Molecule: non-coding RNA, 88 nt
Organism: Puccinia sorghi
Lineage: Eukaryota; Fungi; Basidiomycota; Pucciniomycetes; Pucciniales; Pucciniaceae
Source: the annotation of a GenBank genome assembly